AUGCAAUAAUAGACUUGUGUUUUCGGAGAAUGCUGGGUUAUGCUUAGAAAAAAGUGAGAAGGCAUUGUUGUAAAAAGCCCUCUAAGAAAUAAUACUUAUGAAACUGAAGAAGGCAUCAUGUAUGUCCCCUCCAACGGCUCCCAGUGAUCUCCACCUCGUGUCUUCAUCCUCUGGCGUCAUCACGUCCAUUUAAAUGUGUGAUCAUCUUACUGAGUCUCUUCUUAGGAACAGACGUGACAGAAGUGAUGGGAUGUCCCUCCCCAAAUCAGAAAAGACUAUGGUUUCCAUCUUAAGUCGUCUCCGGAGCUGUGUCUUGGCUCAGCUGUUGCACACUGUGAGAACACGCAGACAGCCAGUGGUAGGGGUGGAUGUGGAUGAUCAGUCCCAGUAGGGCCCGGAGAAGCCUGCAGUCCCAAAUGAUGGCUUGACUACAACUUCAUGUAAUCUUCUCAUCAGCAUAGCCUUACCAGGAUGCUCACUAGGUGCUCCAUGUUUGAUUCACUGCAGGAGGAUGCACAAAUAUGCAAAUCUCCCUGCUAAAAGGAAAGGAAGAAGGAAAAUAGUUUCUGGAUUGGUCUGUGCUCC
Long non-coding RNA from Pongo pygmaeus (Bornean orangutan), 585 nucleotides. RefSeq lists it as uncharacterized. The transcript is spliced from 3 exons. Lineage: Eukaryota; Metazoa; Chordata; Mammalia; Primates; Hominidae. The record is from RefSeq and is a predicted model, not a curated record.